UCAGAAAGCCCGCCAUUUGGUUAUAUGACCGUUUCUGUUGGUUCAAGAAAUACAAUUAUAUAAAGGAAAUUUUAGAGAAAAGAUUUGCCCCCCAAUUUUCAGAAAGACCGUAAAUCUGUAGAUUCUCGUUCCCGUAGACCAUUCUUUUGCCGUUAAAUCUCGCCGACGAAUUAACCAUGGUGCCCAACAAGCUAAACGCGAAAAGGCGCAGACUUGAAGAUCCAGCUGAAAGUGCAAGCUCAAGCACCAACCCUCAUAACAAAAUUGAAGUACAAAGUCCAACAACAACAGAUCGAAUGUGUGGGGUAAAUCAUCAGAGAAAUUUAGCUCAACCAAGGCCGAAAGAGAAAUAAUGAUACAAGGAAUAUCCUGUCUUACAGUGGACUGCUGACUUCAAAUAUUAUUUUUAAUAGAUCUCCUUUUUUGCUUUUCUUUGGCCCAUUGACAGUAGUCACUAUUAUAGCAGUUUCUAGUUGUUGUAAGAGUUAUAUUGUCAUUGACAGUUUAAAUUUCUCCCAUGGUUUGUCCUUGUAUAAAAGGUGGUGACGUUCUUCGAUCAC
Nicotiana attenuata is the source of this 560-nucleotide long non-coding RNA. RefSeq lists it as uncharacterized. NCBI's taxonomy places the organism in Eukaryota, Viridiplantae, Streptophyta, Magnoliopsida, Solanales, Solanaceae. The transcript has 3 exons. The record is from RefSeq and is a predicted model, not a curated record.